RNAcentral lists this ribosomal RNA (495 nucleotides) under Triticum aestivum (bread wheat). RNAcentral's name for it is "partial small subunit ribosomal RNA". Lineage: Eukaryota; Viridiplantae; Streptophyta; Magnoliopsida; Poales; Poaceae. The record is from RNAcentral.
AUGAAUUAUUUAGCCUGGAACUGUCGAGGCUUGGGGUUGGACUCGAUAGUUGGCGAACUAAGGGACCUGAUACGGUCAUACAACCCAGUGGUGGUUUUUCUCUCAGAAACUAAGAAGAAGGCGAGAGCAAUGGAGAAAUUGAAGUGGAGUUUGGGUUUUAGGAGUGGUGUAGCGGUAGAUUGUCAAGGUCUGAGUGGGGGGCUGGCUCUCUGGUGGCGAGAAAGUGUGCAAGUUAACAUUAGGCCUUGGUGCCAAUAUUUCAUAGACGCUGCAAUGACUUGGGAAAACAAAACCUAUAGAUUCACUGGUUUCUAUGGGGAACCCAAGACGGAGCUGCGCAAGAAGUCAUGGGAUGCAAUCAGAUAUCUGCGAGCACAAGAUGACCUGCCCUGGAUUUGUGUGGGGGACUACAAUGAAGCUCUCUUCCAAACUGACCAACUCGGAGGCAAUCCGCGGCCAUUUGCACAGAUGGAAGAUGAGGGAGUCCUGGACUAG